Molecule: non-coding RNA, 94 nt
Filed under: Desulfosporosinus sp.
Lineage: Bacteria; Bacillati; Bacillota; Clostridia; Eubacteriales; Desulfitobacteriaceae
Description: NiCo sequence
Rfam family: NiCo (Nickel/Cobalt) riboswitch aptamer
Source: RNAcentral
UAUUUUCAAAUAGAGCAGGUGAUACACUUCUUGAAGUGUGUGGGCUGGGCUAGCGCAAGAGCCGGCAGCAGGAUAAAAUACCUGUGGGACUAUA